CCUACGGGAGGCAGCAGUCGAGAAUCAUUCACAAUGGGGGAAACCCUGAUGGUGCGACGCCGCGUGGGGGAAUGAAGGUCUUCGGAUUGUAAACCCCUGUCAUGUGGGAGCAAAUUAAAAAGAUAGUACCACAAGAGGAAGCGACGGCUAACUCUGUGCCAGCAGCCGCGGUAAUACAGAGGUCUCAAGCGUUGUUCGGAAUCACUGGGCGUAAAGCGUGCGUAGGCUGUUUCGUAAGUCGGGUGUGAAAGGCGAGGGCUCAACCCGCGGACGGCACAUGAUACUGCGAGACUAGAGUAAUGGAGGGGGAACCGGAAUUCUCGGUGUAGCAGUGAAAUGCGUAGAUAUCGAGAGGAACACUCGUGGCGAAGGCGAGUUCCUGGACAUUAACUGACGCUGAGGCACGAAGGCCAGGGGAGCGAAAGGGAUUAGAUACCCCAGUAGUC
Molecule: ribosomal RNA, 446 nt
Filed under: uncultured bacterium
Lineage: Bacteria
Description: partial 16S ribosomal RNA
Rfam family: Bacterial small subunit ribosomal RNA
Source: RNAcentral